RNAcentral lists this ribosomal RNA (492 nucleotides) under uncultured bacterium. RNAcentral's name for it is "partial 16S ribosomal RNA". It matches the Rfam family "Bacterial small subunit ribosomal RNA", at positions 29 to 507 of the family's 1533-position model. The record is from RNAcentral.
AGUGAACGCUGGCGGUAGGCCUAACACAUGCAAGUCGAACGGCAGCACAGUAAGAGCUUGCUCUUACGGGUGGCGAGUGGCGGACGGGUGAGGAAUACAUCGGAAUCUACUUUUUCGUGGGGGAUAACGUAGGGAAACUUACGCUAAUACCGCAUACGACCUACGGGCGAAAGCAGGGGAUCUUCGGACCUUGCGCGAUUGAAUGAGCCGAUGUCGGAUUAGCUAGUUGGCGGGGUAAAGGCCCACCAAGGCGACGAUCCGUAGCUGGUCUGAGAGGAUGAUCAGCCACACUGGAACUGAGACACGGUCCAGACUCCUACGGGAGGCAGCAGUGGGGAAUAUUGGACAAUGGGCGCAAGCCUGAUCCAGCCAUACCGCGUGGGUGAAGAAGGCCUUCGGGUGGUAAAGCCCUUUUGUUGGGAAAGAAAAGCAGCAGGUUAAUACCCCGCUGUUCUGACGGUACCCAAAGAAUAAGCACCGGCUAACUUCGUG